Molecule: non-coding RNA, 1113 nt
Organism: Rattus norvegicus (Norway rat)
Lineage: Eukaryota; Metazoa; Chordata; Mammalia; Rodentia; Muridae
Source: RefSeq, a predicted model, not a curated record
GUCAAGGACUGCACAGUAAGCAAAUAUUUCCAGGUUUUAUACAAUCAAAGGUAUAAAAGAAAGAUAUUGGUCUCCAGAAAAAGGGAAAACCUUAGGAAUCGAAAUGUGUGUCACAUGCAUUGUCUUGGGUAGUAGAUUUACUUUUAAGAAAAACUCCCUCAUCCAUUGUCCCUAGAGAUUUGGGUGCUAAGAAAAAUCUCUUCUCUAAUUCAGGGUUGUAAGCAACUCUCCCCAGCAAAAGCAUUGAUGACUUCUAAUGAAGCAGAGAGAAAUGUCUAGCUUUGGAAUAGAGGUUGCCAAAUGGUAUUCCUGGUGACACAUUAGAGACUGGAGGAUAGGGCCCCCACAGAAAUUGAUCCAUUUGGGGUGAGCUAGUUAGCAGGUAGGCCAUAGAACUUCCCAGUGACAUCAUCAGUAAGCCCUUCAUUGGACAAUCUAUUGUAUCUAAGAGAUCCCUAGAAUCUUCUGUGAUGUCACCAGUGUUGUGGUGACACCAACUGCCUUUGGGAUAUUCCUUCAGUUCCCUUUGGGUUCACAAGCAGGCAUGUUUCGUCAGCUGCUCAGGCCAUUUCGGAAGGAAAGUGGAGAUCAAGGAGAGACCACACCAAGUCAGAAGGAAGAUGACCUCCUGUCUAGUAAAACAGGAAGGAUGAAAUCAUUUUGGGGAAGGCUUGGUGAGCCUUGGCAGAGUUGGGGAACUUCCUUGAGGAGACAGGAGCCUAGAAAACCUGUCUUCUGAGGGGCUCCAGUCAGCUGUCAGUGGAAAGUGAUGCAGAGAAUCACAGACAAACAGAUGGAGCUCAAGGAGUCUGGCAGAAGAAUUGAGGGAAGGAUUGAGGGACACAAGAGGAACGGGUUUCAACUAUAAGACCAACAGAAUCAACUAACCUGGACCCUUGAGAACUACUGGAGACUUAAUUACCAACCGUAAGAAACAGAUAUGCAGCUUGCUCUUCAUGUGGGUAUCCCAAGAACUGUAGCUGGUGCUGUCUCUGAAACUGUUGCAUUCCUAUCUGCAGAUCCCAUUCCCCAACUCUGUAAUGGAGGUUCUGUUGUUAAAGUCUUGUACCCUAAUUGGUUCUUGAUUUUUCAAUAAAGAAGGCUGGGAGUCAA